AUGGCUCAGGACGAACGGCUGGCGGCGUGCUUAACACAUGCAAGUCAACGGGAGAUUGAAGAAGCUUGCUUUAGAGAUACUUUAGUGGCGGACGGGUGAGUAACGCGUGAGGAGCUGUCCUAUGCAGGGGGACAACAGCUGGAAACGGCUGCUAAUACCCCAUAAGCCGAGAGGUAAAAGGAUCAAUCCGGCAGUGGAGGUACUCGCGUCCUAUCAGCUAGUAGGUGAGGUAACGGCUCACCUAGGCGAAGACGGGUAGCCGGCCUGAGAGGGCGAACGGCCACACUGGAACUGAGAUACGGUCCAGACUCCUACGGGAGGCAGCAGUGGGGAAUAUUGGGCAAAUGGGGGGAAACCCUGACCCAGCGACGCCGCGUGGGUGAAGAAAUCCUUCGGGAUGUAAAGCCCUGUUGUAUGGGAAGAGCGGAAGACGGUACCAUACGAGGAAGCCCCGGCAAACUACGUGCCAGCCGCCGC
Molecule: ribosomal RNA, 477 nt
Filed under: uncultured bacterium
Lineage: Bacteria
Description: bacterial SSU rRNA
Rfam family: Bacterial small subunit ribosomal RNA
Source: RNAcentral